ACACUCUAACCACUAGGCUACCUACCGCCCCUACACUCUAACCACUAGGCUACCUACCGCCCCUACACUCUAACCACUAGGCUACCUACCGCCCCUACACUCUAACCACCUGCCGCCCCGGGAAGCAAACAAGGGAACCAUCGUCAAAUUCGUCACCACCAAAUUCCAGAGGUGUAGACUCACUCGAGUCACAUGACUGGAGCACACAGUGCCUUCAGGAAGUAUUCACACCCCUUUGUCCACACUGUUGUGUUACAACCUUGCACUUCAAAUGGAUUACAUUGAGAUUUGACGUCACUGGCCCACACAUAAUACCCCAUAAUGUCAAAGCGGAAUUAUGUUUUUCAUUUUUUACCCUCCCUCUCAAAACUAAUUAAAAAAUGAAAAGCUGACAUGUCUCGAGUCAAGGGUAGCCUAGUGGUUAGAGCAUUGGACUAGUAACCGAAAGGUUGCAAGUUCAAAUCCCCGAGCUGACAAGGUACAAAAUCUGUCGUUCUGCCCUUGAACAGGCAGUUAACCCACUGUUCUUAGGGCCGUCAUUGAAAAUAAGAAUUUGUUCUUAACUGACUUGCCAAGUUAAAUAAAGGUUAAAAAUAUACAAAAAUAAAGUAUUUAACCCCUUUGUUAUCGCAAGCUGAAAUAAGUUCAGGGGUAAAAACGGACUUAAACAUAAUAAGUUGCAUUGACUCAUCUCUGUACUCCACAGAUACAAUUAUCUGUAACGUCACUCAGUCAAGCAGUGAAUUUCAAAAACACAGAUUCCACCACAGAGAGAGACUGGGAAGGGGGGCACCUAUUGGUAGAUAGAAUUUCCCUUUGCGCAUGGUGAAGUUAUUAAUUGCACUUUGGAUGGUGCAUCAAUACACACAGGCACUACAAAGAUACGGACGUCCUUCCUAACUCAGUUGCCGGAGAGGAAGGAAACCGCUCAGGAAUGUCACCAUGAGGCCCGAUGGUGACUUUAAAAUAGAGUUCAAUGGCUGUGAUAGAAGGAAACUGCGGAUGGAUCAACCACAUUGUAGUUACUCCACAAUACUAACCUAAAUGACAGAGUGAAAAGGAGGAAGCCUGUACAGAAUAAAAAUAUCCAGAACAUGCACUUUGUUUGCAACAAGGCACUAAAGUAAAACUGCAAAAAAAACGUGACAAAGCAAUUCACUUGUAAGUCAGCAUUUCACAGUAAGGUCUACUACAGCUGUUGAUUAAGGGCUUGUAAGUCAGCAUUUCCCUGUAAGGUGUCUACACCUGUUGGUUAAGGGCUUGUAAGUCAGCAUUUCCCUGUAAGGUCUACCUACACCUGUUGGUUAAGGGCUUGUAAGUCAGCAUUUCCCUGUAAGGUCUACCUACACCUGUUGUAUUCAGCAUUUCCCUGUAAGGUCUACCUACACCUGUUGUAUUCAGCAUUUCCCUGUAAGGUCUACCUACACCUGUUGUAUUCAGCAUUUCCCUGUAAGGUCUACCUACACCUGUUGUAUUCAGCAUUUCCCUGUAAGGUCUACCUACACCUGUUGUAUUCAGCAUUUCCCUGUAAGGUCUACCUACACCUGUUGUAUUUGGCAUUUCCCUGUAAGGUCUACCUACACCUGUUGUAUUUGGCAUUUCCCUGUAAGGUCUACCUACACCUGUUGUAUUCAGCAUUUCCCUGUAAGGUCUACCUACACCUGUUGUAUUCAGCAUUUCCCUGUAAGGUCUACCUACACCUGUUGUAUUCAGCAUUUCCCUGUAAGGUCUACCUACACCUGUUGUAUUCAGCAUUUCCCUGUAAGGUCUACCUACACCUGUUGUAUUUGGCAUUUCCCUGUAAGGUCUACCUACACCUGUUGUAUUUGGCAUUUCCCUGUAAGGUCUACCUACACCUGUUGUAUUUGGCAUUUCCCUGUAAGGUCUACCUACACCUGUUGUAUUUGGCAUUUCCCUGUAAGGUCUACCUACACCUGUUGUAUUCAGCAUUUCCCUGUAAGGUCUACCUACACCUGUUGUAUUCAGCAUUUCCCUGUAAGGUCUACCUACACCUGUUGUAUUUGGCAUUUCCCUGUAAGGUCUACCUACACCUGUUGUAUUCAGCAUUUCCCUGUAAGGUCUACCUACACCUGUUGUAUUCAGCAUUUCCCUGUAAGGUCUACCUACACCUGUUGUAUUCAGCAUUUCCCUGUAAGGUCUACCUACACCUGUUGUAUUCAGCAUUUCCCUGUAAGGUCUACCUACACCUGUUGUAUUUGGCAUUUCCCUGUAAGGUCUACCUACACCUGUUGUAUUCAGCAUUUCCCUGUAAGGUCUACCUACACCUGUUGUAUUCAGCAUUUCCCUGUAAGGUCUACCUACACCUGUUGUAUUCAGCAUUUCCCUGUAAGGUCUACCUACACCUGUUGUAUUUGGCUCAUGUGACAAAUACAAUUUGACGUGACGCAUUGUCAGCAUGCGAAAACAGAAUGUUUAUAAUAGUACUCAACAUUUUUUAAAAAUCCGCUAUGGUUUAAUAAAAUGUCAGGAUGUUCCUCAUUUCAGCUCUUCAUCUCGUAGAAUUCAAUGCACAUUUUCCCACAGUGCAUUGGAAGAGGUAGCCAAACAACGAAACUUAGGCUACUUAAUUGGGAAGAUGCCUUGAAGCUUCUGCGGUGGCAUUCAAAAUGUAGGCUAAGUAGUUUCAUGAAGGUGGAAAAAGUACCCAACUGUCAUACUUAAAGUAAAAGUAGAGACAGCUUAAUAGAAAAUGACUCAAGUAAAAUUGAGAGUCACCCAGU
Oncorhynchus keta (chum salmon) is the source of this 2741-nucleotide long non-coding RNA. RefSeq lists it as uncharacterized. The record is from RefSeq and is a predicted model, not a curated record. Lineage: Eukaryota; Metazoa; Chordata; Actinopteri; Salmoniformes; Salmonidae. The transcript has 7 exons.